This 253-nucleotide ribosomal RNA is filed under the name uncultured bacterium. RNAcentral describes it as "partial 16S ribosomal RNA". It matches the Rfam family "Bacterial small subunit ribosomal RNA", at positions 524 to 776 of the family's 1533-position model. The record is from RNAcentral.
UACAGAGGGGGCCAGCGUUAUUCGGAAUUAUUGGGCGUAAAGGGCGCGUAGGCGGCCAUGCGUGUCUUCCGUGAAAUCCCUCGGCUUAACCGAGGACGUGCGGAAGAAACUGCAAGGCUCGAGUCCGGAAGAGGGGGGCGGAAUUCCCAGUGUAGCGGUGAAAUGCGUAGAUAUUGGGAGGAACACCAGUGGCGAAGGCGGUCCCCUGGGCCGGAACUGACGCUGAGGCGCGAAAGCCAGGGGAGCAAACGGG